RNAcentral lists this unclassified non-coding RNA (577 nucleotides) under Hevea brasiliensis (rubber tree). The record is from RNAcentral. Lineage: Eukaryota; Viridiplantae; Streptophyta; Magnoliopsida; Malpighiales; Euphorbiaceae.
AGAAUGGUUCUUGUACACUGGAAGGUGUUUUUAAAGAUCACUAGACAGUUAAAUAAUUUGAACUUUAUUUCAUCAAUCUCCUGCUUCCUUUUUAUCACUUUGAUUGCAGUUGUUAUGUUCAUUGAAUGAGGUAAAUCUGUUAGAUAUUAUAUCUAUGGAGGACUUUUAACUCCUUCCUCUAAUUUAGUUGGUUGUAUAUUCUUGUACUUCACAUCGUCUCUAGCCUCAGUCUCUCUCACUUUACAUGCUUUACUGCUUUUACGGAUAAGGUAUGGUGCAAUACCAGAACAGGAUCAAUCGUGAAUUUAUAUCAUGUCUGUCCUUGUAACUUCCUAUUUAUUGUUGUCCAAAACUCUCUUUUUUAUUUUCUCUCUGUCUCUCUCAUUUAUACUUACUGGGUGCCAUUUGGUGAUGGGAUAAAUUUAUUUGUUUUGUUAAUUUAUGCUUCUGUCUAUUUUGUUUCUCACCUUUUCUUUAGAGUUCUUCAAGUAUUUUAUCCACUAUCAGUAUAUUAAUUUGCUGAUGUUCAAGUCUUUUCAUGGGUUUGAAUGGCAGUGGUGGUAGAGAUCUUAGCGGA